GGACGAACGCUGGCGGCGUGCUUAACACAUGCAAGUCGAACGAUGGCCUAGCUUGCUAGGUAUUAGUGGCGAACGGGUGAGUAAUACGUGAGUAACCUACCUUUAACUCUGGGAUAAGCCCGGGAAACUGGGUCUAAUACCGGAUACGACCAAUUCCGCAUGGGUGUUGGUGAAAGCGUUAGUGGUUAUAGAUGGGCUCACGGCCUAUCAGCUUGUUGGUGAGGUAACGGCUCACCAAGGCGACGACGGGUAGCCGGCCUGAGAGGGUGACCGGCCACACUGGGACUGAGACACGGCCCAGACUCCUACGGGAGGCAGCAGUGGGGAAUAUUGCACAAUGGGCGCAAGCCUGAUGCAGCGACGCCGCGUGAGGGAUGACGGCCUUCGGGUUGUAAACCUCUGUUAGCAGGGAAGAAGAGAGAUUGACGGUACCUGCAGAGAAAGCGCCGGCUAACUACGUGCCAGCAGCCGCGGUAAUACGUAGGGCGCGAGCGUUGUCCGGAAUUAUUGGGCGUAAAGAGCUUGUAGGCGGUUUGUCGCGUCUGCUGUGAAAGGCCGGGGCUUAACUCCGGUAUUGCAGUGGGUACGGGCAGACUAGAGUGCAGUAGGGGAGACUGGAAUUCCUGGUGUAGCGGUGGAAUGCGCAGAUAUCAGGAGGAACACCGAUGGCGAAGGCAGGUCUCUGGGCUGUAACUGACGCUGAGAAGCGAAAGCAUGGGGAGCGAACAGGAUUAGAUACCCUGGUAGUCCAUGCCGUAAACGUUGGGCACUAGGUGUGGGGGACUUCCAGUUUUCCGCGCCGUAGCUAACGCAUUAAGUGCCCCGCCUGGGGAGUACGGCCGCAAGGCUAAAACUCAAAGAAAUUGACGGGGGCCCGCACAAGCGGCGGAGCAUGCGGAUUAAUUCGAUGCAACGCGAAGAACCUUACCAAGGCUUGACAUAACUGGACCGCAUCAGAGAUGGUGUUUCCCUUCGGGGCUGGUAUACAGGUGGUGCAUGGUUGUCGUCAGCUCGUGUCGUGAGAUGUUGGGUUAAGUCCCGCAACGAGCGCAACCCUCGUUCUAUGUUGCCAGCACGUUAUGGUGGGGACUCAUAGGAGACUGCCGGGGUCAACUCGGAGGAAGGUGGGGAUGACGUCAAAUCAUCAUGCCCCUUAUGUCUUGGGCUUCACGCAUGCUACAAUGGCCGGUACAGAGGGUUGCGAUACUGUGAGGUGGAGCUAAUCCCUAAAAGCCGGUCUCAGUUCGGAUUGGGGUCUGCAACUCGACCCCAUGAAGUCGGAGUCGCUAGUAAUCGCAGAUCAGCACGCUGCGGUGAAUACGUUCCCGGGCCUUGCACUCACCGC
RNAcentral lists this ribosomal RNA (1345 nucleotides) under uncultured bacterium. RNAcentral's name for it is "bacterial SSU rRNA". It matches the Rfam family "Bacterial small subunit ribosomal RNA", at positions 27 to 1393 of the family's 1533-position model. The record is from RNAcentral. RNAcentral also lists the same sequence under 1 other name.